GACGAACGCUGGCGGCGUGCUUAACACAUGCAAGUCGAACGAAAAUACCAAGCUUGCUUGGUUGAUUAGUGGCGAACGGGUGAGUAACACGUGAGUAACCUGCCCCUUACUUUCCUGGAUAACUGCUCGAAAGGGUAGCUAAUACGGGAUAUUCUGACCAGCCUGCAUGGGUUGGUUUGGAAAGGUUGUUUUUCUGGUAAGGGAUGGGCUCGCGGCCUAUCAGCUUGUUGGUGGGGUGAUGGCCUACCAAGGCUUUGACGGGUAGCCGGCCUGAGAGGGUGGACGGUCACACUGGGACUGAGAUACGGCCCAGACGCCUACGGGAGGAAGCAGUGGGGAAUAUUGCACAAUGGGCGCAAGCCUGAUGCAGCGACGCCGCGUGAGGGAUGAAGGCCUUCGGGUUGUAAACCUCUUUCGUCAGGGAACAAGGCACUGCUUUUUUGGUGGUGUUGAGGGUACCUGGAUAAGAAGCGCCGGCUAACUACGUG
This 488-nucleotide ribosomal RNA is filed under the name uncultured bacterium. RNAcentral's name for it is "partial 16S ribosomal RNA". It matches the Rfam family "Bacterial small subunit ribosomal RNA", at positions 28 to 507 of the family's 1533-position model. The record is from RNAcentral.